RNAcentral lists this ribosomal RNA (468 nucleotides) under uncultured bacterium. Its description in RNAcentral is "partial 16S ribosomal RNA". It matches the Rfam family "Bacterial small subunit ribosomal RNA", at positions 28 to 507 of the family's 1533-position model. The record is from RNAcentral.
GACGAACGCUGGCGGCGUGCUUAACACAUGCAAGUCGAACGGAAAGGCCCUGCUUUUGUGGGGUGCUCGAGUGGCGAACGGGUGAGUAACACGUGAGUAACCUGCCCUUGACUUUGGGAUAACUUCAGGAAACUGGGGCUAAUACCGGAUAGGUGCUCCUGCUGCAUGGUGGGGGUUGGAAAGUUUCGGCGGUUGGGGAUGGACUCGCGGCUUAUCAGCUUGUUGGUGGGGUAGUGGCUUACCAAGGCUUUGACGGGUAGCCGGCCUGAGAGGGUGACCGGCCACAUUGGGACUGCGAUACGGCCCAGACUCCUACGGGAGGCAGCAGUGGGGAAUAUUGCACAAUGGGCGGAAGCCUGAUGCAGCAACGCCGCGUGCGGGAUGACGGCCUUGGGGUUGUAAACCGCUUUCGCCUGUGACGAAGCGUGAGUGACGGUAAUGGGUAAAGAAGCACCGGCUAACUACGUG